AGUUUUAUUAUUAACAAAUAAAAAAAAAAGAAAAGAAAAAGCUAUCAUUUUUCUCUUCCCCUUCACCGAAAUAUGCAGCAAAGAAAGAGUUUUGAAGCUGGAAAAUUUCAGCAACAUAUUUCCCUUGCUUAUGAUGAAAAUUGAGACUUGGACCUAGAACGGAAAGAAAUCGAUUUAUGGACGAGUAUGUCCUUUUCACAUUUGUGGUAUCGAGAGUUUCCAGGUUAGCUCGGGUUGGAGGCCGUCAGAGAUAUUAUCACCCUAUCGAGUUAACGUUAUCAGAGUAAGUAAACUCAAGUGAUUCAAGUCUAUGGCAUGUAUAGGGUUUUAAUGUGAGUAUGUAAUAUUAUGAUUUAGCCAAAGGCAUUGGCUUGUUAUUAAGGUAGUAUUAGUCAUGUAAAUUGGCCUAUGUCGGCUAAUGACAUUAUGGGCCCAUAUGAUUAUUCUUAUGCAUGUAUGUUAUUAUCUCUUGUGAUGUGGCUUACAACAUGUAUGCCUAGAGAUUGAAUUGAGAUUCAUUGAUGAGCUAGUAACUAAUGCAGGAUUAAGUGAUUGGUAAAUAGUUAAUAA
This is a long non-coding RNA of Gossypium arboreum, 570 nucleotides long. RefSeq lists it as uncharacterized. The record is from RefSeq and is a predicted model, not a curated record. Lineage: Eukaryota; Viridiplantae; Streptophyta; Magnoliopsida; Malvales; Malvaceae. The transcript is spliced from 3 exons.